RNAcentral lists this ribosomal RNA (648 nucleotides) under uncultured Flexibacteraceae bacterium. RNAcentral describes it as "bacterial SSU rRNA". It matches the Rfam family "Bacterial small subunit ribosomal RNA", at positions 76 to 727 of the family's 1533-position model. The record is from RNAcentral. Lineage: Bacteria; Pseudomonadati; Bacteroidota; Cytophagia; Cytophagales; Cytophagaceae.
GUAGCAAUACCACUAGUGGCGCACGGGUGCGUAACGCGUAACCAACCUGCCCUUGACUGGGGGAUAGCCCGCCGAAAGGCGGAUUAAUACCGCAUAAACUAGCAGCCUGGCAUCAGGCAACUAGUAAAGAUUUAUUGGUCAAGGAUGGGGUUGCGUGACAUUAGCUAGUUGGCGGGGUAACGGCCCACCAAGGCGACGAUGUCUAGGGGACCUGAGAGGGUGAUCCCCCACACUGGCACUGAGAUACGGGCCAGACUCCUACGGGAGGCAGCAGUAGGGAAUAUUGGGCAAUGGGCGGGAGCCUGACCCAGCCAUGCCGCGUGCCGGAUGAAGGCCUUCUGGGUUGUAAACGGCUUUUCUCAGGGAAGAAAAAGACCAUGCGUGGUACACUGACGGUACCUGAGGAAUAAGCACCGGCUAACUCCGUGCCAGCAGCCGCGGUAAUACGGAGGGUGCAAGCGUUGUCCGGAUUUAUUGGGUUUAAAGGGUGCGUAGGCGGCCCGUUAAGUCCGGGGUGAAAGCCCACAGCUCAACUGUGGAACUGCCCUGGAUACUGGCGGGCUUGAGUCCAGACGAGGUUGGCGGAAUGGAAGGUGUAGCGGUGAAAUGCAUAGAUACCUUCCAGAACCCCGAUUGCGUAGGCAGCUG